GAUGAACGCUGGCGGCGUGCUUAACACAUGCAAGUCGAACGAAGCACUUUAUUUGAUUUCCUUCGGGACUGAUUAUUUUGUAACUGAGUGGCGGACGGGUGAGUAACGCGUGGGUAACCUGCCUUGUACAGGGGGAUAACAGUUGGAAACGGCUGCUAAUACCGCAUAAGCGCACAGCAUCGCAUGAUGCAGUGUGAAAAACUCCGGUGGUAUAAGAUGGACCCGCGUUGGAUUAGCUAGUUGGUGAGGUAACGGCCCACCAAGGCGACGAUCCAUAGCCGACCUGAGAGGGUGACCGGCCACAUUGGGACUGAGACACGGCCCAAACUCCUACGGGAGGCAGCAGUGGGGAAUAUUGCACAAUGGGCGAAAGCCUGAUGCAGCGACGCCGCGUGAGCGAAGAAGUAUUUCGGUAUGUAAAGCUCUAUCAGCAGGGAAGAUAAUGACGGUAC
RNAcentral lists this ribosomal RNA (452 nucleotides) under uncultured bacterium. RNAcentral describes it as "bacterial SSU rRNA". It matches the Rfam family "Bacterial small subunit ribosomal RNA", at positions 28 to 478 of the family's 1533-position model. The record is from RNAcentral.